GUGCGACUAGUGGCAGGCAAUAGACCCGAAGCGGAGGUGAUCUACUUUUGAGCAGGUUGAAGGCUGGGUAACACCAGGUGGAGGACCGAACUCGUGGAUGUUGAAAAAUCCUGAGAUGACUUGAGAGUAGGAGCGAAAGACUAAUCAAACCCCGUGAUAGCUGGUUCUCUCCGAAAUAGCUUGAGGGCUAGCGUCGGAUAAGUAC
Molecule: ribosomal RNA, 205 nt
Filed under: Climacostomum virens
Lineage: Eukaryota; Ciliophora; Heterotrichea; Heterotrichida; Climacostomidae
Description: partial Bacterial large subunit ribosomal RNA
Rfam family: Bacterial large subunit ribosomal RNA
Source: RNAcentral